UAUGGCAGAUUAGUGCAAUGAACUUAAGCUUCAUAAAUAAAGAAUAUUCUUUUAUUAGAAA
RNAcentral lists this transfer RNA (61 nucleotides) under Heterosternuta pulcher. Its description in RNAcentral is "tRNA-Leu". Lineage: Eukaryota; Metazoa; Arthropoda; Insecta; Coleoptera; Dytiscidae. The record is from RNAcentral.